Clupea harengus (Atlantic herring) is the source of this 2707-nucleotide long non-coding RNA. NCBI's taxonomy places the organism in Eukaryota, Metazoa, Chordata, Actinopteri, Clupeiformes, Clupeidae. The record is from Ensembl.
CUUUCUUUACCUUCACUUUGGCUGGCUUAGCCUUCUCCUUCACAGGUUCUGCUUUAGCCUUCUCCUUCACAGGUUCUGGCUUAGCUUUCUCCUUUACAGCUUCUGGCUUAGCCUUCUCCUUUACAGCUUCUGGCUUACCCUUCUUUACAGCUUCUGGCUUAGUCUUCUUUACAGGGGUGGGUUCUGCUUUAGCCUUCUCCUUUGCAGGUUCUGGCUUAGCUUUCUCCUUUACAGCUUCUUGCUUAGCUUUUUCCUUUACAGCUUCUUGCUUAGCUUUCUCCUUUGCAGGUUCUGGCUUAGCUUUCUCCUUCACAGGUUCUGGUUUAGCUUUCUCCUUUACAGGGACGGGUUCUGCUUUAGCCUUCUCCUUCACAGGUUCUGCUUUAGCCUUCUCCUUCACAGGUUCUGCUUUAGCCUUCUCCUUCACAGGUUCUGCUUUAGCCUUCUCCUUUGCAGGGUCUGGUUUAGCUUCAUCCUUUACAGGUGCAGGUUCUGGCUUAGCCUUCCUUAUAGGGGUGGGUUCUGCUUUAGCCUUCUCCUUUGCAGGGUCUGGCUUAGUCUUCUUUACAGGGGUGGGUUCUGCUUUAGCCUUCUCCUUUGCAGGUUCUGCUUUAGCCUUCUCCUUCACAGGUUCUGCUUUAGCCUUCUCCUUUGCAGGGUCUGGCUUAGUCUUCUUUACAGGGGUGGGUUCUGCUUUAGCCUUCUCCUUUGCAGGUUCUGCUUUAGCCUUCUCCUUCACAGCUUCUGCUUUAGCCUUCUCCUUUGCAGGGUCUGGCUUAGUCUUCUUUACAGGGGUGGGUUCUGCUUUAGCCUUCUCCUUUGCAGGUUCUGCUUUAGCCUUCUCCUUCACAGCUUCUGGCUUAGUCUUCUUUACAGGGGUGGGUUCUGCUUUAGCCUUCUCCUUUGCAGGGUCUGGUUUAGCUUCAUCCUUUACAGGUGCAGGUUCUGGCUUAGCCUUCCUUACAGGGGUGGGUUCUGCUUUAGCCUUCUCCUUUGCAGGUUCUGGUUUAGCUUCAUCCUUUACAGGUGCAGGUUCUGGCUUAGCCUUCCUUACAGGGGUGGGUUCUGCUUUAGCCUUCUCCUUCACAGCUUCUGGCUUAGUCUUCUUUACAGGGGUGGGUUCUGCUUUAGCCUUCUCCUUUGCAGGUUCUGGUUUAGCUUCAUCCUUUACAGGUGCAGGUUCUGGCUUAGCCUUCCUUACAGGGGUGGGUUCUGCUUUAGCCUUCUCCUUUGCAGGUUCUGGCCUAGCCUUCUCUUUUACAGAUUCUGGACUAGCUUUCUCCUUCACAGGUUCUGCUUUAGCCUUCUCCUUCACAGGGGUGGGUUCUAGCUUAGCAUUCUCCUUCACAGGUACAGGCUUAGCCUUUUCUUUCAAAGGUGCAGCCUUGUCUUCCUCCUUCACAGGUACAGGCUUAGCCUUUUCUUUCAAAGGUGCAGCCUUGUCUUCCUCCUUCACAGGUACAGGCUUAGCUUUUUCUUUCAAAGGUGCAGCCUUGUCUUCCUCCUUCACAGGAACAGGCUUAGCUUUUUCUUUAGUUGGUUCUGGUCUAGCUUUCGCUUUAGGGAGCUCUGGCUUAACUUUCUCCUUAGCAGGCUCUGGCUUGGCUUUUUCCUUUACAGGCUCAGGCUUUGCUUUCUCCUUCAUGGUUUCUGGUUUAGCUUUUUCCUUAACAGCUUCUGGCUUUACCUUCUCUUUAGCAGGUUCUUUUUUAGCUUUGUCCUUCACAGGUUCUGCCUCAGCUUUCUCCUUCAUGGGUACUGGCUUAGCUUUUUCUUUUGCAGGUGCAGGUUCUGGUUUAGUCUUCUCUACUGCUGGUUCUGGCUCAGUUUUCUCCUUCAGAGCUUCUUUCUUAGCCUUUUCUUUCAGGGUCUUCAUUUUCUCCUUCACUGGUUCUGGCUUAACCUCCUCCCUUGUGGGCACUGGCUUUGCAGUUUCUUUUACAGUUAUUUUCUUAGCGGUUUCCUUUCCAGGUUCAAGCUUAAGUUCUUCCUUUUUGGGCUUAGGCUCAGCUUUCUCCUUCACAGGUUCUGGUGUAGCCUUCUCUUUUACAAGUUCUUCCUUAGCUCUCUCCUUUUUGGGCUCUGGCUUUGCCUUCUCUGCAAUGGGCUUUGGUUUGGCCUUGUCCUUAGGAGAUUCUGGCCUAGGUUUCUCCUCCUUGAAUUCUACCAUAGCUUCUUCCUUAUCGGUAGUAGGUUCUGGUUUAGCCUUCUCCUUUACGGAUUCUAGCUUGGCUUUCUGCUUUUCUGGUUCUGGCUUAGUCUUCUCCGUAAUGGGUUCUUGCUUAGGUUUCUCUUUUUCAGAUUUUGGCUUAGCUUUUUCCUUUACCGAUGCAGGCUCUGGCUUAGCUUUUACCUUUACCGAUGCAGGCUCUGGCUUAGCUUGCACCUUUACCGAUGCAGGCUCUGGCUUAGGUUCUUCUUUUACAGAUGCAGGCUCUGGCUUAGCUUUUUCCUUUACCGAUGCAGGCUCUGGCUUAGCUUGCACCUUUACCGAUGCAGGCUCUGGCUUAGCUUUUUCCUUUACCGAUGCAGGCUCUGGCUUAGCUUUUUCCUUUACCGAUGCAGGCUCUGGCUUAGCUUGCACCUUUACCGAUGCAGGCUCUGGCUUAGCUUUUUCCUUUACCGAUGCAGGCUUAGGUUCUUCUUUUACAGGUUCUGGUUUAUCUUUUUCCUUCACAGGUACAGGUGGAGGUGCAGGUUCUGAAUU